This is a non-coding RNA of Durio zibethinus, 2760 nucleotides long. NCBI's taxonomy places the organism in Eukaryota, Viridiplantae, Streptophyta, Magnoliopsida, Malvales, Malvaceae. The record is from RefSeq and is a predicted model, not a curated record.
GGUAAAUUUUUAUUUUUUGGUGGGGAGGGGGUGUAGUUCAUUUGAAUUAUUGGCAAAUUAAUCAUCUUGAAACAUUAGAAAUUAUUAUUGUUUUGGUAGCCUUGUUUAUGGCCUUUUCGCCCCUUUUCUUCUUGAAUUUGGAAAAAGAAUCAAAUUUUAUAGUGAUAUUGAAGAAUGAAGGCGUUUUCUGUUUGUUACUAUUUUAUAAUCGUUAUGUAACUUACAUUUGUUAGAACUUUUUCUUUUUCCUUUCAUUUAUGCACAGAAAUCAAUGCCCAAAAUUUCAAAUCUUUGAAAAUAAAAGAAUCUAGUCAGCAAUUUCAGUUUAGUGGAGAAGGGGUAUCUCAAGUUACUGAGGUACCAGUAACAUUCAAUUUUGAUGGUUGUCAAAUUGAAAGAGCUAAAGGGGACAAGUUUUUGUCAGCGGUCCAUACUGUCUCUCACCUCUUGAUCUUAACAUUGAAAUUUGCAUUGCUAUCAACGAAUCCUCUGAUAACAAUCCGAAAUGUAAAGAAAAGUUUGACAAACUGUGUUCACAAGAGAUUAAUUGUGUAACCUCGAAACGCAUCAGCUUGGAUCUGAAUGCAGAAGAUGCUACUAGCUCGAUAAACCAUGAAUCAAUUCAUCACAAACACAUCAAAAAUUUGAAGCCAAAGGAUGCUUCUAUGUGUGGAAGUUCUAUUGGUCCACUGGAGGAGAAAGAAUCGUUGAGAAUCGAAUGAGAUGAAGCAGAAUGGUUUUCUUUCAUCUUCUAAUGGGGGUAUAUCUAUGCAAAAUGCCUUACUGUCAUCUUCUCAUUGCGGAAAACCAGUGCCCAAGCACCGUGGAAGGAAAAGUAAGAAUGAUGUGCUCAAGAAGAUGGAGCUUGCUAAGAAAGAACAGGUUGACAGGUUCACAAAAAUGGCUGCUCCAAGUGGACUUGUCAAUGGAUUAAUCCCUGGGAUUAUAAAUCAUGUUAGAAAUAGAAAACAGGUCCAUUCCAUGAUAGAGGCCUUAGUGAAGUCUGAAAAUUUUGAACAUUUGCAUUCAGAAAGCAAACAGGCAAGUCAUGAAAAAAGUGGAAUUGAAGUUGGUGAUGGAAAUAUGGAUUUUUCAGGAUUACAUCGACUCGGUUGUUACCAUGAAGAUGGGCCUCCAAAUGCUACAUCAAUGAGCAGAAAAGCAAGAUUUUAUCUAGCGCCAAUGCAUAAGCCAUAUUCAUCAAUUUCAGAGGGAAGAGGUGGAGAUGGUGAUUCAAGCAUGGUAGAUCCAGUCAGUGAGCAUGAUGCACUAGCAUUGAAAUUGCCAUCAUCUAAGGCAUCUGAGAAUGCUAGCACUUUGUCUAAUGAGGAAUCAGCAAACUUUAUCAGUGCCUCUUCCUUUCUGUAAAAGCUGCCACAGUUGCAUCUCAAUACUUCUUCAGCAAGAUAUUAAAGGACUUCUUUCGGCACAGUAAGAAGAAAGUGCAAGGUGUAAUUACAACAGAGCUAUCUUUUCUAAUAUCAAAAGAAUUCCCCUCUAACCAAGGGAAUGAUCCUGAUAUUUUAAGAAAUUCUGCUGAUGGAUUUUCCGAUGAUGGUGCUGCUGAGGUACAUAGAGCGAGAUGGAGUGCACUGUUUGAUCAGAUGGAUAAAGCUCUUUCUCAAAAAGAGAAACAACUAGUAAGUUGCAGAAAAGUUAUCAUGUUUACUGUUGUUUGAAGGAAUGGUACUCAAGUUUUUACGUGAAGAACACAAUACUUACAGUCUCUAGUGUUAGUUUGGAAGUCAAGGGUGAAGGAACCUAUGCUGUCUAAUUUGAACCCAGUUAUUCCUUUAUCGAUAAUCCCUUGCGAGUAGGAAAGGUGAAUAAUUUGGUAAAGCCUAGCACCUUAGGUGUUGUUGAAAAUAGGUCAUUGAGACGGUACACUACUUAAUUGAAUUUUACCUCUUCAAGUUCAUUUACUUCUUCUCAAUCUGUUUCCUCUUAAGUAGAAUCUUUAUGUUUAUAAAGAAUGGUAUUUCUAAUCUUUCUGACUUUCCCAUUUAUAUUCCAGGAAAUUUGGUUGAACCAAAUAAAAGGGAUGCAACUGCAUUGUGAUCAGGGCUUGCAACAUAUGCAUUGGAAUGUGCUUUAUAGUUUACCACAACUAGGAGGAUCAGAAAGUAAUAUCAGAUCGGUGAUGGGGGACAGCUUUGACAGGGAAUUGGCUAAGGGCAGCUGCUGCUUCCAUUUAUUCAACGUGCAAUUUCAUGUUGUCAAAGGAGAGUGUACCCUAUUCCCUAAUCUGAUUAACAGUGGCACCUAAUUUAAAUUGAAUGUUCUUAAUGCUACCGUAGAAACAUCAAUUUGCAUUAUGCAAACUAGUUGUUAGGUUUUGUUAGGUUGAUAAGGACUUGCUGAGUUGUGAAAUUCCAACACUAGAAGUGAGGUCAUCUUUUGUCUGUUAUCUUCUUUUUUCAAUUUCGUUUAUAAGCCUUUAUCAGCAUAGGGGCAGAAUUUGAUGUUAGAAUUGCAAUUGUCGCACUGUGAGGUUCCUUAAUAUCCUUUUGCGUUCAAACAUUUUUUGCCAUUUUCUUGCACUUGUUCUGUAAUUUACAAGGCUUGUACCACAAUUUUGGACUCAUGAAAAACUAUAACAAUGGUAGAGAAAUAUUUUCAAGUUAGGUUAAAUAUUGAACCGUGGCAUACCGGCAACAAAGUAUCACUUGCCCCCAUUUUAUAUGAAUUGCAGGUCUACAACUAGUUUGGUCCCAUCUUGCUUGACAUUGGCUUCGAGGAUGUAUGGUCUGGAACUUUGGC